GGAAGGAUCAUUAACACUUUUAAAGUCCAAUUUUGACGAAAAGAAAAUAGUCGAGGUUAACGUCUCGCUCUUUUCCUAUCGUCAGAAACAUUUCCUUUAGAGAAAUCGAAGGGUUCGUCCUUUUUUCUUUUUCGAGAGAAAAAGGCGACGAAAGAGGUCUACAAGCGAUAGCGAACUUUACCGUUCAUUCAUCGAUUUAUAAACUUCAGUUCCAAGAUCUUUUUAAGAUCAAACUUGUUCGUUUUCUUGUCAAAACGAAAAAAAACCGAGAUAAAACAACUUUCGACAACGGAUACCUUGGUUCCCCGAUCGAUGAAGAACGCAGCGAAACGCGAUAAUGUCAUGCGAAUUGCAGAUCUUCGUGAAGCAUCGAAUCUUUGAACGCAAAUUGCGCUUUUGAGAUAUCUCGAAAGCACGUUCGUUCGAGCGUUGAACAUACGUUUGUAAAACAAAAAUUCUUGAAGGUUCGAAAGAUAUUUUUUUUCGAUCCUUUUAAACGAAUGCAAAAAGAAACCGAAGGAAGAACGGUGAUUUUUCUGGCGGAGAACACGUUCCUUUCGAUAGGCGAUACAAAAGUCUCGAAAGGUAUCCUCUUCUUUGAAUCUUCAUUUUCUUUUUUUCGUUUCUCAAAUUCAAAACAUCAACCUCGAAUCGAUCGAGAUUACCCGCUGAAUUUAAGCAUAUUAAUAAGCGGAGGAAGAGAAAUCAACUGAGAUACCCCAGUAAUGGCGAAUGAAGAGGGUACAGCUCAAAUUUGAAAUCGGCGUUCCGACCUUAUGGUGAUUAAGGGACGUUCGAAUUGUAGUUUUUAAAGAUUGAAGGUCGCGGGAUCGUUGCGCACGAGAGACGAAGUGACCUCGAACGGUCCGUCGAAGAGGGUGAGAACACCGUUUACGUCUUCCGCAGCGGUCCGGCGCGUCGUCCUUUUUUCUACGAGUCGGGUUGUUUGGGAAUUCAGCCCUAAAGGGUGGUAGACCUCAUCCAAAGCUAAAUAUUUCGGGGAGACCGAUAGCGAAGAAGUACUGUGAAGGAAAGGUGAAAAGAACUUUGAAAAGAAGGUAAAAAGCGCUUGAAAUUGUCGAAAGGGAAGCGUACGCGUUCCGGAGUCGGUUCCUCGAAGGUUCGAGAAAGAAGGGGCGGUCGUGGAACGAAGCAACAGAAGAGGGUUCAAUCCUUCGCUUCGUCUUCUGGUCGGUUUUUCUUUUUCCACUCUUUCGGCGGAACGGUCGACGCGGGAUCGAAGGAUUGCAAAAGAUUCGGGUCGAGGUGUUCGGUGGUGUCAAAGCCGUCGGGCCUUAUCAAGAUCUGUUUUUCCGCAUUCGCCUUCGGACUCUGGGAAACAAACAACGCGAGCGGUCCUUUUAAUAGGGGAACGCGGAGCCUCUUUCGGUGCGGUCAGGGGGGAGAGGGAUUUCGUCCCGGGUUUAGGCUCGGGGGACGUUCUUCAUUCUUCACCGCGUCGGGGGUAAGGUUCCUUCGCGUCUGAGGCGUCGACGAAAAGGGCGCGUACGACCCGUCUUGAAACACGGACCAAGGAGUCUAACGUGCACGCGAGCUUUAGGGCGAUCAAACCCUCGAGCGUAACGAAAGUGAACUUUGUCAUGCGAGAGAGACCUUGUAAAAGGGGUCUCGCAUCGCGGGCCGGCCUCGCACCAGGUGAGGAUCGAGUCGAAGCGAGUACGAUGGGACCCGAAAGAUGGUGAACUAUUCCCGAGCAGGGCGAAGCCAGAAGAAAUUCUGGUGGAGGCUCGAAGCGAUACUGACGUGCAAAUCGUUCGUCCGACUUGGGUAUAGGGGCGAAAGACUAAUCGAACCGUCUGGUAGCUGGUUUACGU
RNAcentral lists this unclassified non-coding RNA (1835 nucleotides) under uncultured fungus. RNAcentral describes it as "sequence contains 18S rRNA gene, ITS1, 5.8S rRNA gene, ITS2, 28S rRNA gene". The stretch from base 642 to 1835 matches the Rfam family "Eukaryotic large subunit ribosomal RNA", at positions 1 to 961 of the family's 3401-position model. Lineage: Eukaryota; Fungi. The record is from RNAcentral.